Molecule: ribosomal RNA, 97 nt
Filed under: uncultured bacterium
Lineage: Bacteria
Description: partial 16S ribosomal RNA
Rfam family: Bacterial small subunit ribosomal RNA
Source: RNAcentral
AAGCUCUUCGGAGUGUAAACCACUGUUGCCCGGGACGAACAGCUCGAUUUUUCGAGCCUGACGGUACCGGGUGAGGAAGCACCGGCUAACUCCGUGC